Molecule: ribosomal RNA, 493 nt
Filed under: Bacillus licheniformis
Lineage: Bacteria; Bacillati; Bacillota; Bacilli; Caryophanales; Bacillaceae
Description: bacterial SSU rRNA
Rfam family: Bacterial small subunit ribosomal RNA
Source: RNAcentral
UCCUGGCUCAGGACGAACGCUGGCGGCGUGCCUAAUACAUGCAAGUCGAGCGAACCGAUGGGAGCUUGCUCCCUGAGGUUAGCGGCGGACGGGUGAGUAACACGUGGGUAACCUGCCUGUAAGACUGGGAUAACUCCGGGAAACCGGGGCUAAUACCGGAUGCUUGAUUGAACCGCAUGGUUCAAUCAUAAAAGAUGGCUUUUGCUAUCACUUACAGAUGGACCCGCGGCGCAUUAGCUAGUUGGUGAGGUAACGGCUCACCAAGGCGACGAUGCGUAGCCGACCUGAGAGGGUGAUCGGCCACACUGGGACUGAGACACGGCCCAGACUCCUACGGGAGGCAGCAGUAGGGAAUCUUCCGCAAUGGACGAAAGUCUGACGGAGCAACGCCGCGUGAGUGAUGAAGGUUUUCGGAUCGUAAAGCUCUGUUGUUAGGGAAGAACAAGUACCGUUCGAAUAGGGCGGUACCUUGACGGUACCUAACCAGAAAGCC